ACGGUCAGUGACACUGUGCUGUUGAGGCGGGAAGAACUGCGAUUGGAGACUGAUUACAUGACGGAUGUUACUCAACGAGAUUUACGUCUGUGGAUCUGCUCGGACAUUAAACGAAAUUCUCUGGAAAACAUAAGAAUUUAUUCUGACCGAAACAUCUCAGGAGCCAUCAAACACAGUGACUACAAGGGUCAAGGCACCGUGUUGACUGUGACGGAUGAAUGUGAGCAACCCACUGGGGGUGUGAAGGUCUCUUUCCUGCCACCCUCGCAGCAACAGGUUUUAAUGGAGUCCACUGUAACGCUGACAUGUGUCGUGGCCAAUGCACCACUUGACGUCAACGUGACUUGGACACAAGGAAAGACACAUUUACAGUCUGGAUAUGGGAAACCGUCUGCCACUGAGCCUCAGGAAGUGAUCAGUAAAUUAAACGUUUCUACACAGGACUGGAAGAGUGGGAAAGAAUUCUUCUGCCUUGCCAAUCAUGAAGAUAUUCCAACUCCCAUCGGAGAAAAGACAUUUAAGAGGAAAGUUAUGUACACAAAACAACCUUCAGUGUAUCUGCUCCUCCCCUCGGCAGAAGAAAUGGCUGCUCAGCAGUUUGUCACCUUGACCUGCCUGGUGAAGGACUUCGCUCCCAAAGAGAUCUUUGUGCAGUGGACUGUGAAUGACCAGUUGAUUGAUGCCAACAAGUACAGAAACACCGAGGUGAUGGCAGACAGUGAAGAUCUCAACUACUCCAUGUACAGCAUGUUAACCCUCUCAGUCGAUGAGUGGAACAGAAGACCCUCAUACUCAUGUGUGGUGGGCCACGAAACGUUCCCACUGAAGACCCUGACCAGAACCGUAAAUAAAUCCAGCGGUAAACCGAGUUUUGUAAACCUUGCACUUGUCCUGAUGGACACCGUGAAUCCGUGUCACUGAGUGUCUCUCAAUACCAUCUUGCUUGUCCUUUUGUGCACCCACCUUCUUGCCAUUGCAUUGUCAGUUUUCAACAAUUAAAUCAAAUAAAGAUCAUUGUUUUAUUGAUGUAUCAGG
Non-coding RNA from Callorhinchus milii (elephant shark), 1035 nucleotides. The record is from the annotation of a RefSeq genome assembly. Lineage: Eukaryota; Metazoa; Chordata; Chondrichthyes; Chimaeriformes; Callorhinchidae.